AAGCAUCCCCGUUGAACGCUUUCGACACCUUGCCCCAACAAAUUGACUCUGUUCUGACGGCAAAAGGGGGUGCAACUGUGGGGCUUUUUUUCAGUGGCAGGGACUGGGAGACUAGUCAGGAUCGAGGGAAAGAUACAAAAAAGUACAGAAGGAUCCUUUUUGAAAACCUGCUCCAGAGCGCUCGGGAAACCAAUGCAGGGGUGGGUUCAGGACAAGUCUCUGAAUGUCCUUGAGUGGCCCAGCCAGAGCCCAGACUUGAACCCAGAUCGAACAUCUCUGGAGAGACCUGAAAAUAGCUGUGCAGCGACACUCCCCAUCCAUCCUGACUUGAGUGGAUCCGUAGCUUGAGAGGAUCCGCAGAGAAGAAUGGGAGAAACUCCACAAAUGCAGGUGUGCCAAGCUUGUAGCAUCAUACCCAAGAAGACUUUAGGCUGUAAUCACUGCCAAAGGUGCUUCAACAAAGUAUUGAGAGACAUGUGUGCUGGAGUCAGAGCAGGUCCCCACCAGCUGCAACCUGUUCCAUAAUCAAGACCACUACAAAUACUCAGCCCUGCCAGUUCCACGCUGCCAAAUCUUCUGCCCGCUCUGACUCUAGUCCCUGUCGGCAGUCCCACGGCUCGUCAUCCUGCUACUCUGUCCUGGAUACCCCACUCUACUACUCCCUUGGAUUCCCCUCUGGACCUGCUUACCCUGUCCCAACCCCUCUCGCUCCAGCCUCAGCCUCCGCACCUGGUUUCCAGCAACCCGCCCGAGCUUCCCCUGACCUACACUACAUCUCCCCCCUGUGUUUCUGGGUUUGCUCUUGGGUUCCCCUGUUCCACUCUUUGUAACAUUUUCACAUUUAAGGUCAACUAGGGCUGUCAAAUAAGAAUAGAUGAAUAAUCGAGUUAAUCAAAGGUUUUGCUGUGAUUAAUCACAACUAAUCACAAAUGCAUAAUUAGCUC
Molecule: long non-coding RNA, 944 nt
Organism: Oncorhynchus tshawytscha (Chinook salmon)
Lineage: Eukaryota; Metazoa; Chordata; Actinopteri; Salmoniformes; Salmonidae
Source: Ensembl